Molecule: unclassified non-coding RNA, 1581 nt
Filed under: Hevea brasiliensis (rubber tree)
Lineage: Eukaryota; Viridiplantae; Streptophyta; Magnoliopsida; Malpighiales; Euphorbiaceae
Source: RNAcentral
AUUUAAUGGUGUCUCUCACACUGCCGAGUCUGCAGAUCUGCUUGCUGCUUUGUCUAGCAUGAAUCUUUCAAAUGGUAGUCAGAAUAACUCUCAGCAGCAUGCAUAUCUGAAGAGAUCUGAAUCUGCUCAGUUUAAUAUGUCGUCCAAAUCUCACUCUGCUAAAGGACCAUAUAUUGACACUGGUGCCGGCAACAAUGGGCGGUCAGACCUUAACAGUUCUAACCAUCAUGACGAUCUGCACAGAUCUGCGGUUGCCUCUAAUAAUUCUUAUGUGAAAGGAUCUCAAACAUCCACACUGAAUGGUGGAGGUGGUGUACUUUCUCAAUAUCCGCAUAUGGAUAGUCCUUCCAAUUAUGGUUUAGGUAGUCAUUCCGUCAAUCCAGUGACAAGCCAUCUUGGCAACUAUAAUCUGCCUCCUUUGUUUGAAACUGCUGCUGCCGCGUCUGGGAUGGCUUUACCUGGAAUGGACUCUCGAAUGCUAGGGGCAUCUCAUUUGAACUCUGGGGUCUCAGAGCAGAAUCUGGGCAGAAUGGGAAAUCAUAUGUCUGGAAGUGCUUUACAGGCAUCCUUCAUGGAUCCUAUGUAUCUUCAGUACUUGACAGCUGAAUAUGUUGCACAGGUUUCCGCACUGAAUGAUCCUUCCAUGGAUAGGAAUUACAUGGGCAAUUCUUAUAUGGACUUGUUUCAGAAAGCUUAUCUUGGUAAUGCACUAUCUCCAAAGUCGCAAUAUGGUGUCCCACUCAGCAGUAAAGGUAGUGGUUCAAAUCAUCUUGGCUAUUAUGGCAAUCCUGCAUUUGGAGUUGGUUUAUCAUAUCCUGGAAGUCCAUUGGCAAGUUCUGUCGUUCCAAACUCUCCAGUCGGUCCUGGUAGUCCAAUGAGGCACAGUGAUUAUAAUAUGAGGUUCUCUGGUGCAAUGAGAAACAUAACUUCAGGUGUAAUCGGAUCAUGGCACUUGGAUAACAUGGAAAACAGCUUUGCUUCCUCUCUAUUGGAAGAGUUCAAGAGUAAUAAGACCAGGUGUUUUGAGCUUUCAGAAAUUGCUGGUCACGUUGUCGAGUUCAGUGCGGACCAGUAUGGUAGCCGGUUCAUCCAACAAAAACUGGAAACUGCCACCCCUGAGGAGAAAAACAUGGUUUUUCAGGAAAUUAUUCCCCAAGCUCUUACUUUGAUGACUGAUGUUUUUGGUAAUUACGUAAUCCAGAAGUUUUUUGAACAUGGAAUGGCAUCUCAGAGGAGAGAAUUGGCUAGCAAACUCUUUAGCCAUGUAUUAACACUGAGCCUUCAGAUGUACGGUUGCCGCGUGAUUCAGAAGGCUAUAGAAGUGGUAGAUGUGGACCAGAAGAUUAAAAUGGUUGAGGAGCUUGAUGGUCAUGUUAUGCGCUGUGUACGAGAUCAGAAUGGUAAUCAUGUCAUUCAGAAAUGUAUUGAAUGCGUACCAGAACUUCAUAUCCAAUUUAUCGUCUCAACAUUUUUUGGACAAGUUAUUACUCUCUCAACCCAUCCAUAUGGCUGUCGAGUUAUACAGAGAGUAUUGGAACACUGUGACAAUCCAGAAACUCAAAGUAAAGUGAUGGAAGAAAU